Molecule: transfer RNA, 90 nt
Filed under: Clostridiales bacterium
Lineage: Bacteria; Bacillati; Bacillota; Clostridia; Eubacteriales
Also listed under: 2 other names
Description: tRNA-Ser
Rfam family: tRNA
About the family: Transfer RNA (tRNA) molecules are approximately 80 nucleotides in length. Their secondary structure includes four short double-helical elements and three loops (D, anti-codon, and T loops). Further hydrogen bonds mediate the characteristic L-shaped molecular structure. tRNAs have two regions of fundamental functional importance: the anti-codon, which is responsible for specific mRNA codon recognition, and the 3' end, to which the tRNAs corresponding amino acid is attached (by aminoacyl-tRNA synthetases). tRNAs cope with the degeneracy of the genetic code in two manners: having more than one tRNA (with a specific anti-codon) for a particular amino acid; and 'wobble' base-pairing, i.e. permitting non-standard base-pairing at the 3rd anti-codon position.
Source: RNAcentral
GGAGAUGUACCCAAGUGGUGAAGGGGCUCCCCUGCUAAGGGAGUAGGGUGCGAAAGUGCCGCGAGGGUUCAAAUCCCUCCAUCUCCGCCA